RNAcentral lists this transfer RNA (72 nucleotides) under Marmota marmota marmota (Alpine marmot). It matches the Rfam family "tRNA". Rfam says of the family: Transfer RNA (tRNA) molecules are approximately 80 nucleotides in length. Their secondary structure includes four short double-helical elements and three loops (D, anti-codon, and T loops). Lineage: Eukaryota; Metazoa; Chordata; Mammalia; Rodentia; Sciuridae. The record is from Rfam by way of RNAcentral. RNAcentral also lists the same sequence under 1 other name.
UGGGGUGUAGCUCAGUGGUAGAGCACUUGCCUAGCAUGCAGGAGGCCCUGGGUUCUAUCCCCAGCAUAAUAA